GUGAAUGAGGAGAAGGUGGUGACCUUGCAAAUUAGAUAAGGAAGGGCAUUUCAAGAAAAAAAGUGAUCACGGAAAAAAGUGUGUAAAGAGUUUUUGGAGAAGAGGACAAAAAAUAUACAGGCUGCCAGCAUGAGUGAAGCGGAGGAGUCCGUAGGAACAACAUUCUAAAGAGCACAAGACCAUACAGGAAGAAAAGGUUGACUUUUUAGAGGUGUUCUGAAAGGAGGAGGAUCUGGAUCUGAAUGUGAGGGAUGAAGGAAAGAGGAAGAAGCUGAUGAAGACACCAAAGGCUCUUCAUGACUACUGGCUGAAAGGUUGGGGACCAGCACAGGAGUGCGGCACUGUUACAUUUGGCCACCAUUGGAUACAAAAGUGGCUUGGUUUCAUAACCCAAAAUGACAGCUGGA
This is a long non-coding RNA of Mauremys mutica (yellowpond turtle), 407 nucleotides long. RefSeq lists it as uncharacterized. NCBI's taxonomy places the organism in Eukaryota, Metazoa, Chordata, Testudines, Geoemydidae. The record is from RefSeq and is a predicted model, not a curated record. The transcript is spliced from 3 exons.